RNAcentral lists this transfer RNA (63 nucleotides) under Anguilla anguilla (European eel). Its description in RNAcentral is "tRNA-OTHER". Lineage: Eukaryota; Metazoa; Chordata; Actinopteri; Anguilliformes; Anguillidae. The record is from RNAcentral.
GGCAUGGUGGUGCAGUGGGUAGCACAUCAAGAAGGUCCUGGGUUCGAAUCUCGGCUUGAGCCU